UCUUCCGUAGUAUAGUGGUCAGUAUGCAAGCUUGUCACGCUUGAGACCGGUUCAAUUCCCGGCGGGAGAG
Molecule: transfer RNA, 70 nt
Filed under: Metarhizium acridum
Lineage: Eukaryota; Fungi; Ascomycota; Sordariomycetes; Hypocreales; Clavicipitaceae
Description: tRNA-Asp
Rfam family: tRNA
About the family: Transfer RNA (tRNA) molecules are approximately 80 nucleotides in length. Their secondary structure includes four short double-helical elements and three loops (D, anti-codon, and T loops).
Source: RNAcentral